CGAACGACGCUGGCGGCGCGUCUUAAGCAUGCAAGUCGGACGGCAAGGGGAGCUUGCUCCCCCUAGAGUGGCGGACUGGUGAGUAACGCGUGGGUGACCUACCCUCGAGAUGGGGAUAGCCAUUAGAAAUAGUGGAUAAUACCGAAUACGCUCAUGACCCUGUGGGGAUAUGAGGAAAGCAGGCUACGGCCUGGCUCGAGGAUGGGCCCGCGUCCCAUUAGCUAGUUGGUGAGGUAACGGCCCACCAAGGCGACGAUGGGUAUCCGGCCUGAGAGGGUGUACGGACACAUUGGGACUGAGAUACGGCCCAAACUCCUACGGGAGGCAGCAGCUAAGAAUAUUCCGCAAUGGACGAAAGUCCGACGGAGCGACGCCGCGUGGAUGAGGAAGGCCGAAAGGUUGUAAAAUCCUUUUGCCAAUGAAGAAUAAGUGUGGUAGGGAAUGACCGCAUGAUGACAUUAGUUGGUGAAUAAGCCCCGGCUAAUUACGUG
RNAcentral lists this ribosomal RNA (491 nucleotides) under uncultured bacterium. RNAcentral describes it as "bacterial SSU rRNA". It matches the Rfam family "Bacterial small subunit ribosomal RNA", at positions 33 to 507 of the family's 1533-position model. The record is from RNAcentral.